RNAcentral lists this ribosomal RNA (369 nucleotides) under uncultured fungus. Its description in RNAcentral is "eukaryotic LSU rRNA". It matches the Rfam family "Eukaryotic large subunit ribosomal RNA", at positions 40 to 398 of the family's 3401-position model. Lineage: Eukaryota; Fungi. The record is from RNAcentral.
AUAUCAAUAAGCGGAGGAAAAGAAACCAACAGGGAUUGCCUCAGUAACGGCGAGUGAAGCGGCUAACAGCUCAAAUUUGAAAUCUGGCUCUUUUCAGGGUCCGAGUUGUAAUUUGUAGAGGAUGCUUCGGCGUGAGGCUCCGGUCUAAGUUCCUUGGAACAGGACGUCAUAGAGGGUGAGAAUCCCGUACGUGACUGGGUUGCCUUUGCAUCGUGUAAAGCUCUUUCGACGAGUCGAGUUGUUUGGGAAUGCAGCUCUAAAAUGGGAGGUAAAUUUCAUCUAAAGCUAAAUAUCGGCCAGAGACCGAUAGCGCACAAGUAGAGUGAUCGAAAGAUGAAAAGCACUUUGGAAAGAGAGUCUAAACAGUAC